RNAcentral lists this ribosomal RNA (253 nucleotides) under uncultured bacterium. RNAcentral's name for it is "partial 16S ribosomal RNA". It matches the Rfam family "Bacterial small subunit ribosomal RNA", at positions 524 to 776 of the family's 1533-position model. The record is from RNAcentral.
UACGUAGGGGGCAAGCGUUGUCCGGAUUUAUUGGGCGUAAAGAGCGUGUAGGCGGCCGCACAGGUCCGUUGUGAAAACUGGAGGCUUAACCUUCAGACGUCGAUGGAAACCGUGCGGCUAGAGUCCGGAAGAGGAGAGUGGAAUUCCUGGUGUAGCGGUGAAAUGCGUAGAUAUCGGGAGGAACACCAGUGGCGAAGGCGGCUUUCUGGCCUGUUCUUGACGCUGAGGCGCGAAAGCUAGGGGAGCGAACGGG